GCUCCGGUUGCCUAGUGGUUAGAGCGUUCGCGUCGGAUGCGGGAGGUCGUGGGUUCGAUUCCCGGUCGAGUCA
Non-coding RNA from Potamilus streckersoni, 73 nucleotides. The record is from the annotation of a GenBank genome assembly. Lineage: Eukaryota; Metazoa; Mollusca; Bivalvia; Unionida; Unionidae.